UAGGGAAUCUUCCACAAUGGACGCAAGUCUGAUGGAGCAACGCCGCGUGAGUGAAGAAGGUUUUCGGACCGUAAAGCUCUGUUGUUGGUGAAGAAGGAUAGAGGUAGUAACUGGCCUUUAUUUGACGGUAAUCAACCAGAAAGUCACGGCUAACUACGUGCCAGCAGCCGCGGUAAUACGUAGGUGGCAAGCGUUGUCCGGAUUUAUUGGGCGUAAAAGCGAGCGCAGGCGGAAGAAUAAGUCUGAUGUGAAAGCCCUCGGCUUAACCGAGGAAUUGCAUCGGAAACUGUUUUCUUGAGUGCAGAAGAGGAGAGUAGAACUCCAUGUGUAGCGGUGGAAUGCGUAGAUAUAUGGAAGAAUACCAGUGGCGAAGGCGGCUCUCUGGUCUGCAACUGACGCUGAGGCUCGAAAGCAUGGGUAGCGAACAGGAUUAGAUACCCUGGUAGUCCAUGCCGUAAACGAUGAGUGCUAAGUGUUGGGAGGCUUCCGCCUCUCAGUGCUGCAGCUAACGCAUUAAGCACUCCGCCUGGGGGAGUACGA
Molecule: ribosomal RNA, 540 nt
Filed under: uncultured bacterium
Lineage: Bacteria
Description: partial 16S ribosomal RNA
Rfam family: Bacterial small subunit ribosomal RNA
Source: RNAcentral